UCUUAAAACCAUUGUUUCCACCGAUGGUGGGGUGGCCGCUUUAUUUGUCUCACCACAUUUCAAGGAUUUGCUAGGUACAGAAAAUUCUAACGUUCAGGCUGAUGGCACUUUCAAGUCUGUGCCUCUUCAUCCUAGAAGCGAACAACUAUUUACCCUGCACGUGGUAGAUACUGAAAGGCAUGGAGGACUUCAAAAUCAGAUAUACCCUGCAGCUUACGCACUUAUGACGAGAAGGACAACUGAAGCGUACGAAGCCGUUUUACGAGGUUUAAUCGAAGAAGUGCCAACAUUUAAGCCAGCAACUUUAAUGAGCGACUUCGAACCCGCAUUGCGCUCUGCCUUUCGACGUGUUUUUCCAAAUGUAUCAGUGAAAGGAUGUUGGUUUCACUACGCCCAGGCAAUUUUUCGACGCGCGCAACAACUGGGAAUGGCGAGAACCAUCCGCUCUGAAACUGGAGAAACGGCUUUGAAGAUGCUUAUGGCCUUACCGUUACUACCCACAGACAAAAUUAUAUCUGGAGUACA
Bacillus rossius redtenbacheri is the source of this 525-nucleotide long non-coding RNA. RefSeq lists it as uncharacterized. The transcript is spliced from 3 exons. NCBI's taxonomy places the organism in Eukaryota, Metazoa, Arthropoda, Insecta, Phasmatodea, Bacillidae. The record is from RefSeq and is a predicted model, not a curated record.